This 1825-nucleotide long non-coding RNA is filed under the name Numida meleagris (helmeted guineafowl). RNAcentral describes it as "lncRNA (ENSNMEG00000010441.1)". The record is from RNAcentral. Lineage: Eukaryota; Metazoa; Chordata; Aves; Galliformes; Numididae.
UUACAGUGUAAAUAUAAUUACUGUGACAUAGAUUUGCUUUGGUUCACUGAGCUGGCAAUGAGCAAGCUUUACAGCAUUGUAUCUUUUUGUUCUUGCUUAAAUUGCCUUUCUAGUAGGUGGUUGGAGCUAGAACCCAGACCACAGCUGCAGUCCCAAUGUGCUGUUGUAACAGUAUUAGCAUAUAAAGUAGAUAUCAUUGCAGAGUGCAGGGCUGAUUCCUACCGGCCCUAUGCGCUGUGAGUGUAGCGGGAAAGGUCCAUUUCAGUGUGCUUGGCACAGCAGGAACCUGCUGACUUGGCAGUACCUGCAGGAGACUCCGUGCUUUUCAGUGGUGGCUGCUCUACACUCCUGGAUUUUGCCGCCUUGCCAGCAGCACUGGGACCAGAACAAGCAGAGAAGUGUUUUCCAUGGAAAUCUUCUUUCCUAGAUUGAAUGACCCUUAUGCACUGUGUCUUUCCUGGUUGCACAGACAGGUCUGUACCAACAAGUGUUUCUCCUGAAGGAACCUAGAGCAUCUGGACAGGUCUGAGUGGGUCUGGUGUGGAAACGCAGUCCUGGGGAGCUCAGAUACAUGACAGUGCUUAUACAAGUAGUUAACCUAAGAAUAUUGACUACGCCUAUGCAUGUGUUUGCCCUAAUAGCACUGGUCUGAAUCCGAUAUACUUAUUGCCUCCAGAGGAGGCUGGCGGCCAUUUUGUCAGCCCAGAGCUGCUGCUGCAGCUAUGCAGCAGCUUCUUCACUGCUGGUUUCUCUCCAUGUAAACCUUCCUCCCUUACCACAUGUGCCCCCAGGCCCCUGUUUGCCACUCUUUGUCUUUUAGGGGGAAAAAGCCAAGUGUGGGAGGCUGGAUGUUGUUCCCUCUGCUGCCUGAGGGACCCUCUUGUGGCUUCCGGAAGGUUCCACAGAGCUUCCUGUCAGUGCCGUGGGACAGCCAGCGCCUCGCUUAUGACCUGUGGACGAGGGUGCUUCUGUGGCUGUCCAAAAAAAAAGGGAUAAAAAAAUGCUGGAAACAGCACAGCUGGAGAGCACGUAAUACUGCUGAAGAGAUGCAAAGAGAAGAUGCAGUUCUAUUAAGAGAUUUCAUGAGUACGCACAGCUAUGCAGGACAAAAGGACAACUUCUUCAUGAAAAGAAAUACUGUUGCUGGCUCAGACUUGGUGAGAGAAAGAGAUACGGAUACAUUGUAUAUCAGUGGAAGAAGACAUGAGAUCAUGUACAGUCAAGGCUGGGGAAAUUUCUCUGUGUCAGCCUGGUGAGGGAAAGCCCUGCAGCCUGAAGAGACCAGCCUCCAGGAGGAAAAAUGGCAGGACUAUGUCAGCUGGUCCAGUCUGACGUUAAAUGUCGCUGAGCGACUGUGUUUAAAGAACUCACAUCCAAUGGAUUGGGGGAGAGGCAUGACAAGCUCUCCAGCUGACAGGACUGGGGAGCUUAUUUUUUUCUGUUUUCUGGUGCUAACGGCUUUCUGGAGCACUAAUGCUUUGUCUGCUAGUGGCUGGAGUCAGACUUGAAGACACACUACCAAAUGCGUUUUGGUGAAGCUGACCCUGUAGGAUGCAGCUACCCUUUGCUGUAGUACUUGGGAAGAGAGGGUCUGAUGAGUGCUCUGUGCCAAUCCCUCAUGCCGAUCUCUGUCAUUUCAUGAAGCUCACGUAGUUUCAGACUUUUACCUUUGCCAGCUUAUUAUAGCCUAGGAAGAUGAGACGUGACUAUGCUGAGAUACAACACCCAGUGAUGGCACUUUAUAAUACUGUAUAACUGGAGGAUUGCUAUUGUAGGCAGAGAAAAAGGCAAUAAAGCAGCAUUGAUAUCCUGCCUGCCCUCUUAU